This 2466-nucleotide ribosomal RNA is filed under the name Escherichia coli O1:H7. RNAcentral's name for it is "partial 23S ribosomal RNA". It matches the Rfam family "Bacterial large subunit ribosomal RNA", at positions 343 to 2797 of the family's 2925-position model. The record is from RNAcentral. Lineage: Bacteria; Pseudomonadati; Pseudomonadota; Gammaproteobacteria; Enterobacterales; Enterobacteriaceae.
UGGAAAGGCGCGCGAUACAGGGUGACAGCCCCGUACACAAAAAUGCACAUAUUGUGAGCUCGAUGAGUAGGGCGGGACACGUGGUAUCCUGUCUGAAUAUGGGGGGACCAUCCUCCAAGGCUAAAUACUCCUGACUGACCGAUAGUGAACCAGUACCGUGAGGGAAAGGCGAAAAGAACCCCGGCGAGGGGAGUGAAAAAGAACCUGAAACCGUGUACGUACAAGCAGUGGGAGCCUCUUUAUGGGGUGACUGCGUACCUUUUGUAUAAUGGGUCAGCGACUUAUAUUCUGUAGCAAGGUUAACCGAAUAGGGGAGCCGAAGGGAAACCGAGUCUUAACUGGGCGUUAAGUUGCAGGGUAUAGACCCGAAACCCGGUGAUCUAGCCAUGGGCAGGUUGAAGGUUGGGUAACACUAACUGGAGGACCGAACCGACUAAUGUUGAAAAAUUAGCGGAUGACUUGUGGCUGGGGGUGAAAGGCCAAUCAAACCGGGAGAUAGCUGGUUCUCCCCGAAAGCUAUUUAGGUAGCGCCUCGUGAAUUCAUCUCCGGGGGUAGAGCACUGUUUCGGCAAGGGGGUCAUCCCGACUUACCAACCCGAUGCAAACUGCGAAUACCGGAGAAUGUUAUCACGGGAGACACACGGCGGGUGCUAACGUCCGUCGUGAAGAGGGAAACAACCCAGACCGCCAGCUAAGGUCCCAAAGUCAUGGUUAAGUGGGAAACGAUGUGGGAAGGCCCAGACAGCCAGGAUGUUGGCUUAGAAGCAGCCAUCAUUUAAAGAAAGCGUAAUAGCUCACUGGUCGAGUCGGCCUGCGCGGAAGAUGUAACGGGGCUAAACCAUGCACCGAAGCUGCGGCAGCGACACUAUGUGUUGUUGGGUAGGGGAGCGUUCUGUAAGCCUGUGAAGGUGGCCUGUGAGGGUUGCUGGAGGUAUCAGAAGUGCGAAUGCUGACAUAAGUAACGAUAAAGCGGGUGAAAAGCCCGCUCGCCGGAAGACCAAGGGUUCCUGUCCAACGUUAAUCGGGGCAGGGUGAGUCGACCCCUAAGGCGAGGCCGAAAGGCGUAGUCGAUGGGAAACAGGUUAAUAUUCCUGUACUUGGUGUUACUGCGAAGGGGGGACGGAGAAGGCUAUGUUGGCCGGGCGACGGUUGUCCCGGUUUAAGCGUGUAGGCUGGUUUUCCAGGCAAAUCCGGAAAACCAAGGCUGAGGCGUGAUGACGAGGCACUACGGUGCUGAAGCGACAAAUGCCCUGCUUCCAGGAAAAGCCUCUAAGCAUCAGGUAACAUCAAAUCGUACCCCAAACCGACACAGGUGGUCAGGUAGAGAAUACCAAGGCGCUUGAGAGAACUCGGGUGAAGGAACUAGGCAAAAUGGUGCCGUAACUUCGGGAGAAGGCACGCUGAUAUGUAGGUGAAGCGACUUGCUCGUGGAGCUGAAAUCAGUCGAAGAUACCAGCUGGCUGCAACUGUUUAUUAAAAACACAGCACUGUGCAAACACGAAAGUGGACGUAUACGGUGUGACGCCUGCCCGGUGCCGGAAGGUUAAUUGAUGGGGUUAGCGGUAACGCGAAGCUCUUGAUCGAAGCCCCGGUAAACGGCGGCCGUAACUAUAACGGUCCUAAGGUAGCGAAAUUCCUUGUCGGGUAAGUUCCGACCUGCACGAAUGGCGUAAUGAUGGCCAGGCUGUCUCCACCCGAGACUCAGUGAAAUUGAACUCGCUGUGAAGAUGCAGUGUACCCGCGGCAAGACGGAAAGACCCCGUGAACCUUUACUAUAGCUUGACACUGAACAUUGAGCCUUGAUGUGUAGGAUAGGUGGGAGGCUUUGAAGUGUGGACGCCAGUCUGCAUGGAGCCGACCUUGAAAUACCACCCUUUAAUGUUUGAUGUUCUAACGUUGGCCCGUAAUCCGGGUUGCGGACAGUGUCUGGUGGGUAGUUUGACUGGGGCGGUCUCCUCCUAAAGAGUAACGGAGGAGCACGAAGGUUGGCUAAUCCUGGUCGGACAUCAGGAGGUUAGUGCAAUGGCAUAAGCCAGCUUGACUGCGAGCGUGACGGCGCGAGCAGGUGCGAAAGCAGGUCAUAGUGAUCCGGUGGUUCUGAAUGGAAGGGCCAUCGCUCAACGGAUAAAAGGUACUCCGGGGAUAACAGGCUGAUACCGCCCAAGAGUUCAUAUCGACGGCGGUGUUUGGCACCUCGAUGUCGGCUCAUCACAUCCUGGGGCUGAAGUAGGUCCCAAGGGUAUGGCUGUUCGCCAUUUAAAGUGGUACGCGAGCUGGGUUUAGAACGUCGUGAGACAGUUCGGUCCCUAUCUGCCGUGGGCGCUGGAGAACUGAGGGGGGCUGCUCCUAGUACGAGAGGACCGGAGUGGACGCAUCACUGGUGUUCGGGUUGUCAUGCCAAUGGCACUGCCCGGUAGCUAAAUGCGGAAGAGAUAAGUGCUGAAAGCAUCUAAGCACGAAACUUGC